Molecule: long non-coding RNA, 379 nt
Filed under: Homo sapiens (human)
Lineage: Eukaryota; Metazoa; Chordata; Mammalia; Primates; Hominidae
Description: non-protein coding lnc-SNX19-3:2
Source: RNAcentral
GGAAUAGAAGAGGGUUGGAGAAAAAUACUGGUCUACACUGGGGCAUGUGGCUACAGGGCAAGGAGCCAUGGAAACUGAAGGAAACUUGGACUGGACAUCAGAGACCAUAGGAGCUGACCUGUAGAGCCCCUUGACUUUACCGGUUAGGUUCAAAAGCUAACCACCAAAUACUAGGGCUAGUGCUUCUUUCAGUGUGCUACCCUCCUCUCUUCUUUCUUCAUCAGUCCUGAGGCAAGCAGGCCCACGCUGCUAAUCCCAAGUUGACCCAGGAGUACACUAAGGCUUGGACAGUUUAGUUGAUCUACCCAAGAACACAGGAACACUCCUGACUUCCAGCCCAGUGUGGUUUCCAUUAGACAUUCUUGCCAUGGCAUGAAAA